ACUCCUCCAAAUUGGGGAAAACCUAUGCAAAAGCAAAUUGAUUAUCUCACAGGCCAUGAAUUGAUAAUGGUAUUAAAGAAUAGUAUAUAGACAUAGAAGAUUUUCCAUUUUCUAUUUCUGAUGUAUUACAGGCAGAUUUUCUCAGCUAAUCUUAAUGAAUUUCUUGUUACUUCUUAAAAAUGAAAUGAUUUAAACCAACAGAAGGGAAAUUAUAACAUGCAAUAAAAUCCACAGAAGGGAAAUGACGUCAAGACCAUUGACUUUAUAACAACUUUUUUCUCAAGUAUAAAUUUGAAAUUAAUAUAAUGGCAGUCAAGUUUAAUUUUCAUUCUAUUAUUUUGAAUUUAUUUUAUUUUAGUGAUUAAUAUUAAAAAGUAUUUUUGCAUUUUAUA
Molecule: unclassified non-coding RNA, 392 nt
Filed under: Hevea brasiliensis (rubber tree)
Lineage: Eukaryota; Viridiplantae; Streptophyta; Magnoliopsida; Malpighiales; Euphorbiaceae
Source: RNAcentral